RNAcentral lists this ribosomal RNA (301 nucleotides) under uncultured bacterium. Its description in RNAcentral is "partial 16S ribosomal RNA". It matches the Rfam family "Bacterial small subunit ribosomal RNA", at positions 509 to 809 of the family's 1533-position model. The record is from RNAcentral.
CAGUCGCCGCGGUAAGACAGAGGAUGCAAGCGUUAUCCGGAAUGAUUGGGCGUAAAGCGUCUGUAGGUGGCUUUUCAAGUCCGCCGUCAAAUCCCAGGGCUCAACCCUGGACAGGCGGUGGAAACUACCAAGCUGGAGUACGGUAGGGGCAGAGGGAAUUUCCAGUGGAGCGGUGAAAUGCGUUGAGAUCGAAAAGAACACCAACGGCGAAAGCACUCUGCUGGGCCGACACUGACACUGAGAGACGAAAGCUAGGGGAGCAAAUGGGAUUAGAUACCCCGGUAGUCCCUGUCUCUUAUAA